AUUGAACGCUGGCGGCAGGCCUAACACAUGCAAGUCGAACGAGAGGCGGACGGGUGAGUAAUGUCUGGGAAACUGCCUGAUGGAGGGGGAUAACUACUGGUAACGGUAGCUAAUACCGCAUACCAUAGGAUGUGCCCAGAUGGGAUUAGCUAGGAGGGUGGGUAAAUGAUCACCUAGGCGACGAUCCCUAGCUGGUCUGACAGGGUGCCAAGCCACCCGGCAACGGAGACACGGUCCAGACUAAGACGGUAGGCGGCGGUGGGGAAGAUUGCACAAUGGGCGCAAGCCUGAUGCAGCCAUGCCGCGUGUAUGAAGAAGGCCUUGGGGUUGUAAAGGUCUUUCAGCGGUGAGGCGUUACCAGCAGAAGAAGCACCGGCUAACUCCGUGCCAGCAGCCGCGGUAAUAC
This 406-nucleotide ribosomal RNA is filed under the name uncultured bacterium. Its description in RNAcentral is "partial 16S ribosomal RNA". It matches the Rfam family "Bacterial small subunit ribosomal RNA", at positions 29 to 526 of the family's 1533-position model. The record is from RNAcentral.